GGGGGCAUAGUUUAAUUUGGCUAAAACAUUACUUUUGCAAAGUAAAAAAUUCGGUUCAAAACCGAAUGCCUCCA
Molecule: transfer RNA, 74 nt
Filed under: Pseudomonadota bacterium
Lineage: Bacteria; Pseudomonadati; Pseudomonadota
Description: Proteobacteria bacterium tRNA-Ala
Rfam family: tRNA
About the family: Transfer RNA (tRNA) molecules are approximately 80 nucleotides in length. Their secondary structure includes four short double-helical elements and three loops (D, anti-codon, and T loops).
Source: RNAcentral